Long non-coding RNA from Gallus gallus (chicken), 1068 nucleotides. RefSeq lists it as uncharacterized. The record is from RefSeq and is a predicted model, not a curated record. The transcript is spliced from 4 exons. NCBI's taxonomy places the organism in Eukaryota, Metazoa, Chordata, Aves, Galliformes, Phasianidae.
GCCCCCAGCCCGCCCCUGAGCGGAGCGCUGAGGGGGCAACGGUCGCGCUCGCGCCUUGUCCGACCGCCGGCCGCGUCCCCUCACAGAACGGGGGCGGCACCUCUGAGCAGGUGAUGCCAGGUGAGGCCGGAGGGCUCAGACCGCCCUGUCCUGGGUUACCAGAAGUUGAAGUGCAAAGUUAAGAACGGCAAUCUGGGACGAUGCUAAACAAACGAACAGUUCUCUGACCUGCGUGCCAGUGCUGCACGUUUCUGCACGAGAGGUUGUUUUAAAACGAGCUUAUACCUCUGUUUUGAAAGUGCUGAAGCAGUUGUUUACAAAGUUCUUCACAAACCUUAAAGUGUAUGAAAAUAAAUGGUCUGAAUCCAUUCCCUGGAGGAAGCGAAGCUGAAAGCAUCCUUUUCAGCCUGAAAGUUUCUCCCUGUGGGGUGUCCAGCCAGAAGCCCCCAGCCCUAUCGAUGGCACCACAGCACAGGUGGCACAGGGGAGCAACAUUGCCUCAUCCAGGGCCCUCAGAGCAGGUGCCCUCCCGUGUUAUGGUGCUUCUCCACAGCACUGAGAGCCACUCAGUGUUAGCAACUAGAAUUGAGAAGAUUGGCACCUCUGAUGUCCCAGGUGGCGGCCUGAAGUGAGCAAGUGGAGAUGACAGCUGGUCUGACUGAGCUCAAAGGAUAGCUUCCAGAGAGUCCUACAAGAGAGACAACACGCAAAGCAUCGGGGCAUGGCAAAGUCCACUUGGCACCUAAGAGCCAGAAGCCCACGGGAAUAUUACAGCCAGCAUGACAAAUCCUCAGAACCCAGCUCCACAGUACUCCAGGAGGCAGACUUACGGAUGGAAGCCAGGCUCAAUCAAGAGAUCAGGUUGUCAGAGCAGAGCAAGCAAAGUGCUUUUCAGAGAAGUAACAAAACACACUGGUUGAUAACCAGAGGCAAUAGCUACGUAGACGUUAACCACUUUGAGUUUGCAACAAGAAGGAGAUCGAAUUCUACUCAGGUUUCUGAAAUGGCAAAAACAUCUACAGUUGAUCAAGGAAGCGGCAUAUUGGGAAAUGAAAUCAGGAAUCACAG